RNAcentral lists this ribosomal RNA (704 nucleotides) under Clostridioides difficile. RNAcentral describes it as "partial 23S ribosomal RNA". It matches the Rfam family "Bacterial large subunit ribosomal RNA", at positions 1456 to 2170 of the family's 2925-position model. The record is from RNAcentral. Lineage: Bacteria; Bacillati; Bacillota; Clostridia; Peptostreptococcales; Peptostreptococcaceae.
UUUGAGAGAAGGGAUGACACAGUAGGAUAAGCUAAGCACACUGUUGGUUAUGUGUGCCCAAGCAUUGAGGCAGUCAAAGUAGGCAAAUCCGCUUUGAUAAUGCUGGGAUGUGAUGGGGAGCGAAAUUUAGUAGCGAAGUAGCUGAUUUCACACUGUCAAGAAAAGUCUCUAUCGAGGUUAAAGGUACCCGUACCGCAAACCGACACAGGUGGGUGAGGAGAGUAUCCUAAGGCCAGCGAGAGAACUGUUGUUAAGGAACUCGGCAAAAUGACCCCGUAACUUAGGGAUAAGGGGUGCCACCAUCAGGUGGCCGCAGAGAAUAGGCCCAAGCGACUGUUUACCAAAAACAUAGGUUUCUGCUAAGUCGCAAGACGAUGUAUAGGAGCUGACGCCUGCCCGGUGCUGGAAGGUUAAGGGGAUCUGUUAGAGCAAUCGAAGCAGUGAACUUAAGCCCCAGUAAACGGCGGCCGUAACUAUAACGGUCCUAAGGUAGCGAAAUUCCUUGUCGGGUAAGUUCCGACCCGCACGAAAGGCGUAACGAUUUGGGCACUGUCUCAACAACAGACUCGGUGAAAUUGUAAUUCCGGUGAAGAUGCCGGAUACCUGCGACAGGACGGAAAGACCCCAUGGAGCUUUACUGUAGCUUGACAUUGGGUCUUGGUACUACAUGUACAGGAUAGGUGGGAGGCUUUGAAACCAGGACG